AGCGGAUUGGCCUAGUGGUAGGGCCAUCCCACUCGUAAUGGGGAGAUCACUGGUUCAAUCCCAAUCCCAAUAUUCGGCA
Molecule: transfer RNA, 79 nt
Filed under: Drepanopeziza brunnea f. sp. 'multigermtubi' MB_m1
Lineage: Eukaryota; Fungi; Ascomycota; Leotiomycetes; Helotiales; Drepanopezizaceae
Description: tRNA-Thr (CGT) (tRNA-Thr-CGT-2-1)
Source: RNAcentral